RNAcentral lists this unclassified non-coding RNA (284 nucleotides) under Hevea brasiliensis (rubber tree). The record is from RNAcentral. Lineage: Eukaryota; Viridiplantae; Streptophyta; Magnoliopsida; Malpighiales; Euphorbiaceae.
ACGUUAUUCGUUUAGGAGUAGCACAUUUGAUGGUUUAGUUUAGAGACCGAAUUUUACUCAGAUAGUUGCCAUUUAUACUCAACUGGUUUUGUGGAAUAGUAAUUCACAUCAGAAUUCAAAGUUUUUAUUGCUCUGACUGAAGGCUAAUUAAGUAAUGUCCUGUUACUGUUUGCAGAAAGUUCAUUACCCCACUCCUAGACAUUUCCACUACUAAAUCCUAUUUCUUUUAUUUUCUGUGGAAUCUCAUAUUGGUUGGGAAAGCUCAAUUGAAAUGGGUUUAUAAG